Molecule: long non-coding RNA, 1771 nt
Organism: Eriocheir sinensis (Chinese mitten crab)
Lineage: Eukaryota; Metazoa; Arthropoda; Malacostraca; Decapoda; Varunidae
Exons: 4
Source: RefSeq, a predicted model, not a curated record
CAGCCUCAAAUCAUGUCCCUUUGUGGUGAUAAAGAGGACACAGCCUGGUGUGAAGCUACAUUUAUUACGGAAGGAUGCCAGCCGGGACCCGAACACGUCCGAUAUCAUCCAAGAGAAUGUGGCAGCUGAAGGGGGAGAGGCCAAGAAAGAGGCCAAGGGUGAAGACAUUUAGCCACCCCCCCUGAAGUACAUGGCAUCAUUCAACCCUCUUGGUGAGCUGCAGGAAUGUGCUUCCCAUUGCAGUGCACCAGCUCCAUGUACUGAUUUUGGGUGUGAACUUGAUGGGGUUGGAGGAAACUCGACUCGGCCAUCAAGCUCAUCACAAUAUAACAUGAAAAGUGAAAAUUGCUGCACACAACAGCCUGCUGUCUGCACCGGGAGGCAAGGCAGCUCAAAGCCCAGGCUGUUACAACUCCUGGGCAGUUUUUGCCCAGAGCCAGCAAUUUUUUAGGUCCAAUAGGGAUGGAUUUUUUCUGAGGUCAGGUUCAACAUGCUGCAAGAUCUAAGCCUAGUAGGAGAUAUGGGUUACAAGAGAGGAGGUUUGCUCUGGCCUUAUACUAUCAAAGUCCAAAUGCUAAUAGAUUUCUAAGCACAGUAUUUCACUUGCCUUCAGUUUCAACACUUCACUCAUGACUCAGGGGUAUUUCAGUACAUGUUAGCUGGAGCAAACAGACUCUGACAGCCCUGCAGCAAAGAGCACAGGCUUUGUCAAAAGAAGAGAAACUUCGUGGGAUUUGCCAUUAUUUAGUAUUACUCUUGUUACGCCAAAAAAAAAAUUCCAUAUACUUUGCCAAAUAUUGCAAGUAAUGCACCAUUGUUAGUCUUGCCUGUUAUAAAUCAGAUCUUGUUGAAUUAACAAGCUUUGGGUGUCUGCCACUUUCCAGUUGUAAUGCAAGGAAUCAUUUAUCUUCUUCCCUGCCAGAUAUCGCAUGUAAUGCACCGUUGUUGGUUUUGCCUGUUAUAAAUCAGAUCUUGUUCAGCUCACAAGCUUUGAAUAUCUGCCAUUGUUUAUUUCAGGUGUACUGCUUGGAAGCAUUUGUUCUCUUCCCUACCCAACAGUGUGCAAUACUUUAUUGUGGAUUUUGCCUGUUAUGUUUAAUCUUGUUCAGGUAACAAGCUUUUGGUGUCUGCCUUACCUAAUAUGUGCUGCAGUGACACUUGGCUUGGUUUCAUAAUGUGAAAUACAGCAUGUAAUUUCAUCACACUAAGUGUCUAUCAUCACGUGUCUGGCAUCAUUAAUGUGGCUUCCAGGAGUAAUCUUGUUUGUAUUACAGCUUGCAAAUUUUUUUCUGCUUUAUAUGAUAUACAUAAUCACAUAGGUAUGAUUUUUUUUUGACAAAAUGUAAUGGCAGUUGAUAUUCUUGACUAAUGCAUCAUAAACCUUGUGAAAAAUAAUGCUUUUUUGAAGGGGGGGGAUGGACAGAGAGUGGUUUGUUUGGUUGGCUAGUUCAAGGAGUUUCAUAUCAAAUGAUUUUAUUACAUCCAACUUUAAUGUGUGCUAAAAACAUAUAUUUUAUAAUUUUAUUACAUCCAACUUUAAUGUGUGGUUCCUACAAUAAAUGCUACAUGUUUACUGAAGUAGCCUAUGAAAUACAAAUCACUGUCUGCCCUGUAAUUUGGUGUGUCAUACUGCAGCAUAACUUUCCUGCUAUUUUCUUACACUAUGAGUUGCCUUAUUUUGUCUCAUUUGCUGUUAUCAUAUGUGUCUCUGCUGCAUAGUUGUGCCUACUGAGCUUAACCCUAUUCGUUCCGACCCGGGCCACAUUUGCCC